Dermacentor albipictus is the source of this 433-nucleotide long non-coding RNA. RefSeq lists it as uncharacterized. Lineage: Eukaryota; Metazoa; Arthropoda; Arachnida; Ixodida; Ixodidae. The record is from RefSeq and is a predicted model, not a curated record.
UGAAGGACGAGGAAGACGAUGUCCCCACUAGUCCUAGCAUUAUUAAUGAUCCCAGUGAACAAGAUUAGACACGAGAAGGUGUUUCUUUCUCCAGGGUAGCGUACCCCACCGCUGACGAGUUGUUGCGACGCCUCUUUAUCGAAGCUCGACCGACGUUACUAUUUGGUAGCGUGGCGUUGGCGGCGGGCUUCAGUCAUCCGGUAGACCAUGGCGACAAGGCUUCGAGAAAACCAACCGGCGGGACGCUUCGACAAUUGGACUUCGUCGCUAUGGAAAAUUAUGAAUGUUCUCUCGCGUGAUGUCACGGCGUAAUAUACGCCAUUGGUUACCCGCUGGUUGAAGAGAAAUAUUUUUCAGGCACCUUUUGUGAAGACCUAAUGCACCAUCCAUCAGCAACUUCUUUAUUGAUAGCACCGACUUCAAUAAAUGAAGU